Molecule: ribosomal RNA, 459 nt
Filed under: uncultured bacterium
Lineage: Bacteria
Description: partial 16S ribosomal RNA
Rfam family: Bacterial small subunit ribosomal RNA
Source: RNAcentral
CCUACGAGAGGCAGCAGUGAGGAAUAUUGGUCAAUGGGCGCGAGCCUGAACCAGCCAAGUCGCGUGAAGGAAGACGGUCCUAUGGAUUGUAAACCUCUUUUGUCAGGGAGCAAAGGGCGCCACGUGUGGCGUUUUGUGAGUACCUGAAGAAAAAGCAUCGGCUAACUCCGUGCCAGCAGCCGCGGUAAUACGGGGGAUGCGAGCGUUAUCCGGAUGUAUUGGGUUUAAAGGGUGCGCAGGCGGAAUGUCAAGUCAGCGGUAAAAUUUCGGGGUGCAACCCCGUCGUGCCGUUGAAACUGGCGUUCUUGAGUGAGCUAGAAGUAUGCGGAAUGCGUGGUGUAGCGGUGAAAUGCAUAGAUAUCACGCAGAACUCCGAUUGCGAAGGCAGCAUACCGGCGCUCAACUGACGCUCAGGCACGAAAGCGUGGGUAUCGAACAGGAUUAGAUACCCUUGUAGUC